This 534-nucleotide ribosomal RNA is filed under the name uncultured organism. RNAcentral describes it as "bacterial SSU rRNA". It matches the Rfam family "Bacterial small subunit ribosomal RNA", at positions 43 to 555 of the family's 1533-position model. The record is from RNAcentral.
CGUGCUUAACACAUGCAAGUCGGAUGCGAACGGCGCUUUCGGGCGUUGAGUAGCAUGGCAGACGGGUGAGGAGCGCGUAUCUGACUGGACUCAGGCUGGGGGAUAGUCCCUCGAAAGGGGGUUGAAUACCGCAUGUGCUCGGUGCUGUGAGGGCAUCGAGGAAAGUUGGCCUCUGCGGGCACGCUGAUGGCCUGAGACAGGGAUGCGUCCUAUUAGCUAGCUGGUGGGGUAAGGGCCUACCAGGGCGACGAUGGGUAGCUGGUCUGAGAGGAUGAUCAGCCACACUGGGACUGCGACACGGCCCAGACUCCUACGGGAGGCAGCAGUGGGGAAUUUUGCGCAAUGGGCGCAAGCCUGACGCAGCAACGCCGCGUGCAUGACGACGCCUUUCGAGGUGUAAAGUGCUGUCGACCGGGACGAAGGGGCGAGGGUGAACAGCUUUCGCGCAUGACGGUACCGGUGGAGGAAGCCCCGGCUAACUCCGUGCCAGCAGCCGCGGUAAGACGGAGGGGGCGAGCGUUGUUCGGAAUUACU